GCUAAACGCGAAGAACCUUACCAAGGCUUGACAUAUACCGGAAAAGGCUGGAAACAGUCUCCCCGCAAGGCCGGUAUACAGGUGGUGCAUGGUUGUCGUCAGCUCGUGUCGUGAGAUGUUGGGUUAAAGUCCCGCAACGAGCGCAACCCUCGUCGUAUGUUGCCAGCACGUAAUGGUGGGAACUCAUAUGAGACUGCCGGGGUUCAACUCGGAGGAAGGUGGGGAUGAGGUCAAAUCAUCAUGCCCCGUUAUGUCUUGGGCUUCACGCAUGCUACAAUGGCCGGUACAAAGGGCUGCAAUACCGCGAGGUGGAGCGAAUCCCGAAAAACGCCGGUCUCAGUUCGGAUUGAGGUCUGCAACUCGACCCCGAUGAAGUCGGAGUCGCUAGUAAUCGUGAAUCAGCAACGUCACGGUGAAUACGUUCCCGGG
RNAcentral lists this ribosomal RNA (429 nucleotides) under uncultured bacterium. Its description in RNAcentral is "bacterial SSU rRNA". It matches the Rfam family "Bacterial small subunit ribosomal RNA", at positions 954 to 1378 of the family's 1533-position model. The record is from RNAcentral.